Molecule: transfer RNA, 62 nt
Filed under: Caudoviricetes sp.
Lineage: Duplodnaviria; Heunggongvirae; Uroviricota; Caudoviricetes
Description: tRNA-Leu
Source: RNAcentral
AGCAGAAGGAAAAAGACCUCAUAAGCCUUUGGUCGGGUGUUCAAAUCACCUCCCUGCUACCA